AGUAUCAUACGAGCACUUUGUUCAGGAGUUCAACACUUUGGGAAAUCAAAAUAAAACGGAGAAAUUCCCAGUUCUAAAACAAAUCAUUGAAGAGGCUGGAGUUUUGCAAUUAAUAAGGCAUUUGCCGAAAAUUCUUGAUAUGCAAAACAUCUUUAAGAGAAGGUUAAAUAGACAGAAAACUCGAGAGGAAUUGAACACUUUGACCAUUCGUAGUUGUCUACUGGAAUUUGAAAAAGAUCCUGCAAUCGAUAUCAUUAAUGAAGGAAUUUCUGCAUUCGUGGAAGCAUGGCAAUCCAUUUGGUCUUUUCUGACAUUUGAGAAAGAUAUUCACAAAAAGGAAAUAGAUAUUGAGAAAGAUAAAAUAAGUCUCUUGGUUUGCGGGGAGGAAGAAUUUGGCUUUUCCGUAAUUGGCAUAAUUUUGAGAUUUCUGA
Molecule: long non-coding RNA, 431 nt
Organism: Saccostrea cuccullata (small rock oyster)
Lineage: Eukaryota; Metazoa; Mollusca; Bivalvia; Ostreida; Ostreidae
Exons: 3
Source: RefSeq, a predicted model, not a curated record